This 76-nucleotide small RNA is filed under the name Xanthomonas sp. NCPPB 1560. RNAcentral describes it as "sX9 sRNA". It matches the Rfam family "Xanthomonas sRNA sX9". Lineage: Bacteria; Pseudomonadati; Pseudomonadota; Gammaproteobacteria; Lysobacterales; Lysobacteraceae. RNAcentral also lists the same sequence under 6 other names. The record is from RNAcentral.
AUGUACCACUCGUCUACUUCGGUUCUUGUGCGCUUUCCGCACUCACCUGACGACUGCUCGCUACGUUUUGUCAGCC